GAUCGCGUAUGUGGAGAGUCUAUCCCGCCUCCUAUGUAUGGUGAUUCCAAUGUUACGAUUAUUUAUUUUGAAUCUGAUGGAAAUGUAAGAAGGGAUGGGUUUUCUUUAACGUUCACAAGUCAAGUUUACGCGGACAAUUUAACCAUACCAGACAAUAAUUUAACCAUACCCGACACCACAACGCCAGCUGACUGUAAUGUAGAUAUUGAAGCUGAAAGUGGGCUUAUAGCAUCUCCUAACUACCCAAACCACUACCCAAAUGAAGCAUCAUGCACGUAUACAAUAACAGCCCCAC
Long non-coding RNA from Patella vulgata (common limpet), 295 nucleotides. RefSeq lists it as uncharacterized. Lineage: Eukaryota; Metazoa; Mollusca; Gastropoda; Patellidae. The transcript is spliced from 3 exons. The record is from RefSeq and is a predicted model, not a curated record.